GCUCCUACGGGAGGCAGCAGUGAGGAAUAUUGGUCAGUGGGCGAGAGCCUGAACCAGCCAAGUCGCGUGAAGGAUGACGGCCCUAUGGGUUGUAAACUUCUUUUGUCAGGGAGCAAUUGGGUCCACGCGUGGGCUUAGCGAGAGUACCUGAAGAAAAAGCAUCGGCUAACUCCGUGCCAGCAGCCGCGGUAAUACGGAGGAUGCGAGCGUUAUCCGGAUUUAUUGGGUUUAAAGGGUGCGUAGGUGGAAUAUCAAGUCAGCGGUAAAAAUUCGGGGCUCAACCCCGUCGUGCCGUUGAAACUGAU
This 305-nucleotide ribosomal RNA is filed under the name uncultured bacterium. RNAcentral's name for it is "bacterial SSU rRNA". It matches the Rfam family "Bacterial small subunit ribosomal RNA", at positions 335 to 637 of the family's 1533-position model. The record is from RNAcentral.